CGCCGGCGACCGGCGCACGGGUGGAGUAACACGUAUGCAACCUACGGCCGGUGACAGAUGGAUAACCGGGAGAAAUCCCGCCUAAUACAACAUAAUGCCGGGAGGGGACAUCCCCUGCCGGCCAAAGGGGCGACCCCGGUCACGGAUGGGCAUGCGGCGCAUUAGGUAGUUGGUGGGGCAACGGCCCACCAAGCCGACGAUGCGUAGGGGUUCUGAGAGGAAGGUCCCCCACAUUGGAACUGAGACACGGUCCAAACUCCUACGGGAGGCAGCAG
This 275-nucleotide ribosomal RNA is filed under the name uncultured bacterium. RNAcentral's name for it is "partial 16S ribosomal RNA". It matches the Rfam family "Bacterial small subunit ribosomal RNA", at positions 86 to 354 of the family's 1533-position model. The record is from RNAcentral.